UGGAGAUUGACUUGGAGGCCUUGGGCGACAUUGUGCAUCAAGUUCUUUCUUUGGCUUGCCAUGCAAGACCGAUGUUGGACGGCGGACCACCUAGCUCGCCAUGGCUUACCUCACGACACUACCUGCACCCUGUGCGACCAAGUGCCCGAGAGCAUAAACCAUCUCCUCGCAGGUUGCUCCUUCUCGAGGCAGGUAUGGCACGAGAUUCUUGGCUGGGUGAGAGCUACGACCGACCUACCGGAUGCCGACACAGCUUUCCAGUCCUGGUGGGUUGCGUCAUGCGACCACGCACCUGCUUCCACCCGCAAGGGGUUGUCCUCCCUCAUCAUCCUUACCACCUGAUGGCUUUAGAAGCACCGCAACGGAUGCAUUUUUGAUGGCGACCACCCAUCGAUUUCCAGCAUGUGCGCUACCAUCAAAGAUAACGAAAACAUAUAG
RNAcentral lists this ribosomal RNA (438 nucleotides) under Triticum aestivum (bread wheat). RNAcentral's name for it is "partial small subunit ribosomal RNA". Lineage: Eukaryota; Viridiplantae; Streptophyta; Magnoliopsida; Poales; Poaceae. The record is from RNAcentral.